AGUAGCAGCAGCAUCAUCAUCACUGCCACCGACCAAUCAUCAUCUUCAUCGUGGCGUCGUCCAUCCACACAAGCGAUGGGCGCGAGAGAGGCCACUGGAGUUCAUCGGCAAGCGUCGACGCAACACUAUGGACUACACAGACGAGGGGGAAAGAAGGAGUGCAUGAAAAAAGUAUCUUACUUUUGUACGUGCAGAAGAGCACCGCCGCCCCUAAGAAAGCGCCCAAGUACUGAGCCACCAUGUAAUGCACCACUUUUUUCCACUGACAUUUUCCGAUGGUCGCCAUGGCAAUCGUAAUGGAAGGGUUCAAGUGGGCUCCUGCAGCAAAUAAGGAAGACACGAAUAAUAUUUUGAUUUUCCUGGACAAAAUGAAGCAAACGGACACGGUUCUGAGAGAACGUAAAGCUAUCUCAAAGGAACAAGUGAAAGAAAGGCUUACCUGAAGCCCCACCUGCGACCAGUACAGCGAGUGCUAGUGCCAACCCCCAACCCCAGAAGCCGACUGCGUAGCCAAUGUUUCCAGUCUUGUCGAAUUUCAAUGCCGCCAAAACGCCGGUGCCAAACAACUGCAAGAACACAAUGUUGUCAUCAACCACAGUAAGCAGCACAAACACAUAAAUUCACUCACAUUGGAAGACUCAAUCAACGAGAACCAUAAUUUAAUAAACAAAUAUUUUAAGCGUUAAAUUCACGCAUCUAUGGUAGCCAAGCAGAAAUUUACCGCUGUAUCGAUGCCCCCAAGGAUUAUAAAACCACUCCUCAAGGAAAUAAACUUUUCUCGCUUUUUUUUU
This is a long non-coding RNA of Ornithodoros turicata, 791 nucleotides long. RefSeq lists it as uncharacterized. The record is from RefSeq and is a predicted model, not a curated record. The transcript is spliced from 2 exons. Lineage: Eukaryota; Metazoa; Arthropoda; Arachnida; Ixodida; Argasidae.